Molecule: ribosomal RNA, 496 nt
Filed under: uncultured bacterium
Lineage: Bacteria
Description: partial 16S ribosomal RNA
Rfam family: Bacterial small subunit ribosomal RNA
Source: RNAcentral
AUUGAACGCUGGCGGAAUGCUUUACACAUGCAAGUCGAACGGUAGAGGGGGCAACCCCUCGAGAGUGGCGAACGGGUGAGUAAUAUAUCGGAACGUGCCCAGUCGUGGGGGAUAACGUAGCGAAAGUUACGCUAAUACCGCAUACGAUCUAAGGAUGAAAGCGGGGGAUCGCAAGACCUCGCGCGAUUGGAGCGGCCGAUAUCAGAUUAGGUAGUUGGUGGGGUAAAGGCCCACCAAGCCAACGAACUGUAGCUGGUCUGAGAGGACGACCAGCCACACUGGAACUGGGACACGGUGCAGACUCCUGCGGGAGGCAGCAGUGGGGAAUUUUGGACGAUGGACGCAAGUCUGAUCCAGCCAUUCCGCGUGCAGGAUGAAGGCCCUCGGGUUGUAAACUGCUUUUGUACGGAACGAAAAGGUCUCUCUUAAUACGGGGGGCUCAUGACGGUACCGUAAGAAUAAGCACCGGCUAACUACGUGCCAGCAGCCGCCGCAG